UAAUGUCCCGGGAAUUAAGUGUUUCUCGUCAUAAAAAAGCAAGACAAAUCCUGUUACUCCAUCAAGGAAAUGGAGCAGCAGCGUUGGGGGAAAAAAAAGGAAUCCGGCUCAAAAUCAACUGCACAACUCUCAUGAUACUAAAAAAUUUCACAGAAAUGGAAGAAUCUAAAGUACAUUGUUUUUCUAGUCGGGAAGAACGAGACAGCUUAUACAGCCCGUAGGAGUUCA
This 228-nucleotide long non-coding RNA is filed under the name Setaria italica (foxtail millet). RNAcentral describes it as "long non-coding RNA (SITA_LNC005997)". Lineage: Eukaryota; Viridiplantae; Streptophyta; Magnoliopsida; Poales; Poaceae. The record is from RNAcentral.